GCGCAACCCCUACUUGUUAGUUUGUCCAUCAUUCAGUUGGGCGACUCUAGCGAGACUGCCGGUAAUAAACCGGAGGAAGGUGGGGAUGACGUCAAAUCAUCAUGCCCCUUAUGACCUGGGCUACACACGUGCUACAAUGGUUGGUACAACGAGUUGCGAGUCGGUGACGGCGAGCUAAUCUCUUAAAGCCAAUCUCAGUUCGGAUUGUAGGCUGCAACUCGCCUACAUGAAGUCGGAAUCGCUAGUAAUCGCGGAUCAGCACGCCGCGGUGAAUACGUUCCCGGGCCUU
Molecule: ribosomal RNA, 289 nt
Filed under: uncultured Streptococcus sp.
Lineage: Bacteria; Bacillati; Bacillota; Bacilli; Lactobacillales; Streptococcaceae
Description: partial 16S ribosomal RNA
Rfam family: Bacterial small subunit ribosomal RNA
Source: RNAcentral